This 2120-nucleotide long non-coding RNA is filed under the name Homo sapiens (human). Its description in RNAcentral is "HSALNT0085775". Lineage: Eukaryota; Metazoa; Chordata; Mammalia; Primates; Hominidae. The record is from RNAcentral.
GUUUCUUCCACCACGUGAAACUUUAUUACACCAAGAAGUACCUUACAAUUAAGCUCAAGACCUACAGGAAGCUAUUAAAAUUAAUGGAGGAGCCAAAUGUGGAGCAGAACAUCUCUGGACAUCAAGUUGACCGGCCAAAAUUUCCUGGAACAGGUACCUUUCUGUUUUCCACAAUAAAUAUACAAGCCAAAAUGCAAAUAGAAUUGGAAGCAGAAAUGAGAUACAGUCACUCAUGCAAAUUUACUAGUUAAGCUAAUUAAAAGAAAAUAUUCCAUUCAUUUAUUCAGCCUAAGUUUAUUUGAAAGUUAAUCCCUUUGAAAUCCGUCAGUAUCUCAUAUGCCAUAAAAAAGUAAAAUUUAGUUAAAUAAAUAUCGUUUGAUUUUAUCUACUAUAUGCAAAUAAAUGGUUAGACAUUCAAGGAGGAGAAAAGUUCAUGAGACAUUUACUAUCUCUAGGUGCUACAGGAUAAUUGUCAGGAGUUUACUAUAUGCUUCACAAAGAUAUAGUAAGUGCUAUAGAAUAAACUUAAUUAAAUUUAAGUUAUAAUGGAGCCACAGAGCACAUGAAGGAGCCAUUUUUUUUUUUUUUUUGCAAUAGUACGAGGGGAUUUUAAGGCAGGAGAUGGCAAUAUCAACUGGCUACAUAUGUCUAUAGGACUUCAAAAUAAAAGUGAUGAUAAUGGUAGUUGGUCAAACAAAGGCAAAGAUAUGAAAAAUGUUUAAUGUUCUCAGAAAAUGGUGAUUCAAAUUAUGUUUUUUAAAUGGAUUUUUAAGGGAUUGUUGGAGAAAUUGGGAUAUGAUUUUUUUAAUAACUUGUAUGUCUUCCAAGAACUGGUAUGCAACAGACUCUAAAUUUCAUCCUGUUAUUAUUGGUAUAGACUAAUCUUAGGUGGUUCAUUUUCUCCUAUAUUUAUCUACCUUUUCCUGUCGCUCGAUAAAGAUUUACUGCUCUAUCUUUUCCUGUCUCUCAGUAAAGAUUUCCUGAUACCUACAGAAAAACUUUGCCAAGGAUAGGUUAGUUACAUUUAUUCCCAGGUAAUUGAAAUAAAAUAUACUGUAGAGCGUUCAUCAGCACAUAUUCUUGAGAAACUUCCUUCUUUGAUUGUAUUUCUUAUUUGCCAAUCCAUCACAAACCAGAGUUAUCACUUCUCAUUUCUAUACUUAAAAAAAUAAUAGCAGCAAAACUCUUUGUUUAAUGACUCCUAAAUUGGAUCAUUCCCAUAAAAUUGCCCUGCUCUCCCAAGCUGUUUCUCACCUUUGAUCUGCUUAGGACAGUCUUUCAGCCCUGUCCUAAGAAGAGUUCCAAUUUCCCUUCUGAGCCACCUUUUAAAAGAAGUAAUUAUAUUUAGAACCCUGGAGCCAAAAAUGGCUUAUGUCUGAUAAAAUAAAUUGGAUUAAUUUUCUUUUCCCUUUAGAGUGAACAGUACUUGACUGAAUAAUAUCUUAAAGAUGCUUUGGAUUCAAACACUGAGCUUAUGAGCAUAGUCUCAGUUUCAUUGCCGCUAUAAACCUGGGAAGAGCAUUCAAAACUACAAAAAUAAACAAAAACAUAGAAAAAGUAAAAAAAGCACACAAAAAUAAACAACAGACAAUAGGAAAAGCCAACCUAAUGUUUUUAAGAUUCAUUAAUCUUGUAGUAUGUAUCACAACCCAUUCCUUUUUGUGGUGAAUACAAUUUUGUUGCAUAAAUAAGUCACAUUUUGUUUAUUCAUUGAUGGAAAUUUUGGGUUGUUUUCACCUUAUGAUUAUAGUGACUAAUGAUGCUUUGAAUCUCCUUGUGUGUUUGUGUGCAUACAUUGUUUUCUAUCUUGAGUUUAUACCUAACAGCAGGAUUGAUGGAUCACAUGUUAACACUAUGUAUAACUUUAUGAAGUAAUUUGAAACAGUUUUCCAAGGUGACUGUACCAUUUUGCAAUCCCACAGUAAUGCAUGAGAGUUCCCAUUUGUCCAUAUCUUCUCCAACACUUACUUUCCAUCUGUUUGAUUAGAUAAUCUAUUGCAUAGGAAGUGGCAUCUCAUGGUUUGACCAAUUAUGUGGAUCCUUUUUUUCACAUGCUUAUUGAGCAUUUAUAUACAUUCUUUGGAGAAAUGUCAAUUCAAAUCCUUUGUCUGUUUUUUAAG